GCCGGGAUGGCGGAAUAGGCAGACGCACAGGACUUAAAAUCCUGUGGGGCUAUGCCCCAUGCGGGUUCGAUUCCCGCUCCCGGCACGA
RNAcentral lists this transfer RNA (88 nucleotides) under Deltaproteobacteria bacterium. RNAcentral's name for it is "tRNA-Leu". It matches the Rfam family "tRNA". Rfam says of the family: Transfer RNA (tRNA) molecules are approximately 80 nucleotides in length. Their secondary structure includes four short double-helical elements and three loops (D, anti-codon, and T loops). Further hydrogen bonds mediate the characteristic L-shaped molecular structure. tRNAs have two regions of fundamental functional importance: the anti-codon, which is responsible for specific mRNA codon recognition, and the 3' end, to which the tRNAs corresponding amino acid is attached (by aminoacyl-tRNA synthetases). tRNAs cope with the degeneracy of the genetic code in two manners: having more than one tRNA (with a specific anti-codon) for a particular amino acid; and 'wobble' base-pairing, i.e. permitting non-standard base-pairing at the 3rd anti-codon position. Lineage: Bacteria; Pseudomonadati; Myxococcota; Myxococcia. The record is from RNAcentral.